This 618-nucleotide long non-coding RNA is filed under the name Astyanax mexicanus (Mexican tetra). RNAcentral describes it as "lncRNA (ENSAMXG00005000352.1)". The record is from RNAcentral. Lineage: Eukaryota; Metazoa; Chordata; Actinopteri; Characiformes; Acestrorhamphidae.
GAGAAAUCGUAAGGUACCUGAGGAGCAGCAAAUUUCACUCAACACUAAUGAGGGUCAAACAGCAUUACAGAGGUGAUUUAGCGCCGCCAGUCUGAAGCAGGUGUUCAUCAUGGCGAGCUCGACCAGCGGAUCUCUCUGUGUUCCUCUGCUCCUCUCCCUGCUGUCUGCGGUUCUUCUGCCUGAAGACAGACUUGACUCUUGGCUUGGAAGUCGUCUGGCUGUGAAAUACUCUUCUGGGUGGACUUUGAAGCAGCAUUUCUUCAGCGCAGGGAGCUUAGCAGGAGCCGAUUCAAACCAAAUGCAUGCAGCAGUCACUGUGGAACAGUAUAGGACCAAUAAAAAAGAGACUUAAAGAUUUGGGAACCACUUUUGAUCCUUAAUUAUUUUCAAGCUCUCCUGCUACUUGACUCAUACAAGGAGGUCAAACUGUUGGGCCAGGGGAAAACUGCACCAUAUUGCAUUCGGCCCCUCCGUUCUACCGCAGCCGAUGGCUCCAAUUGGGAAGUGGUGAUUUGGAUGACCCCCGCGGUCUCCACCACCUGUGCUAUUUUUCCAUGUCUGGAGGGCGAGAAGAUUUCUUCUGCCAGUAAUUCUCUUCUCAAUGGUCUAACACCUCGG